Molecule: ribosomal RNA, 521 nt
Filed under: Stenotrophomonas sp. acu68
Lineage: Bacteria; Pseudomonadati; Pseudomonadota; Gammaproteobacteria; Lysobacterales; Lysobacteraceae
Description: bacterial SSU rRNA
Rfam family: Bacterial small subunit ribosomal RNA
Source: RNAcentral
GCGAGUGGCGGACGGUGUGAGGAAUACAUCGGAAUCUACCUUUUCGUGGGGGAUAACGUAAGGAAACUUACGCUAAUACCGCAUACGACCUUCGGGUGAAAGCAGGGGACCUUCGGGCCUUGCGCGGAUAGAUGAGCCGAUGUCGGAUUAGCUAGUUGGCGGGGUAAAGGCCCACCAAGGCGACGAUCCGUAGCUGGUCUGAGAGGAUGAUCAGCCACACUGGAACUGAGACACGGUCCAUACUCCUACGGGAGGCAGCAGUGGGGAAUAUUGGACAAUGGGCGCAAGCCUGAUCCAGCCAUACCGCGUGGGUGAAGAAGGCCUUCGGGUUGUAAAGCCCUUUUGUUGGGAAAGAAAAGCAGCCAGUUAAUACCUGGUUGUUCUGACGGUACCCAAAGAAUAAGCACCGGCUAACUUCGUGCCAGCAGCCGCGGUAAUACGAAGGGUGCAAGCGUUACUCGGAAUUACUGGGCGUAAAGCGUGCGUAGGUGGUUGUUUAAGUCUGUUGUGAAAGCCCUGGG